GGACAGAUGGCCGAGUGGUCUAAGGCGCCGUCUUAAGGAAGCAAUCGGGCACCUGGCGUGAUUUAAUCCGGCGGUCUUCGGGCGUGGGUUCGAAUCCCACUCUGUUCA
Molecule: transfer RNA, 108 nt
Filed under: Melampsora larici-populina 98AG31
Lineage: Eukaryota; Fungi; Basidiomycota; Pucciniomycetes; Pucciniales; Melampsoraceae
Description: tRNA-Leu for anticodon AAG
Rfam family: tRNA
About the family: Transfer RNA (tRNA) molecules are approximately 80 nucleotides in length. Their secondary structure includes four short double-helical elements and three loops (D, anti-codon, and T loops). Further hydrogen bonds mediate the characteristic L-shaped molecular structure. tRNAs have two regions of fundamental functional importance: the anti-codon, which is responsible for specific mRNA codon recognition, and the 3' end, to which the tRNAs corresponding amino acid is attached (by aminoacyl-tRNA synthetases). tRNAs cope with the degeneracy of the genetic code in two manners: having more than one tRNA (with a specific anti-codon) for a particular amino acid; and 'wobble' base-pairing, i.e. permitting non-standard base-pairing at the 3rd anti-codon position.
Source: Rfam by way of RNAcentral